This 1391-nucleotide ribosomal RNA is filed under the name Staphylococcus sp. RNAcentral describes it as "bacterial SSU rRNA". It matches the Rfam family "Bacterial small subunit ribosomal RNA", at positions 70 to 1444 of the family's 1533-position model. The record is from RNAcentral. Lineage: Bacteria; Bacillati; Bacillota; Bacilli; Caryophanales; Staphylococcaceae.
GAUAAGGAGCUUGCUCCUUUGACGUUAGCGGCGGACGGGUGAGUAACACGUGGGUAACCUACCUAUAAGACUGGGAUAACUUCGGGAAACCGGAGCUAAUACCGGAUAACAUUUGGAACCGCAUGGUUCUAAAGUGAAAGAUGGUUUUGCUAUCACUUAUAGAUGGACCCGCGCCGUAUUAGCUAGUUGGUAAGGUAACGGCUUACCAAGGCAACGAUACGUAGCCGACCUGAGAGGGUGAUCGGCCACACUGGAACUGAGACACGGUCCAGACUCCUACGGGAGGCAGCAGUAGGGAAUCUUCCGCAAUGGGCGAAAGCCUGACGGAGCAACGCCGCGUGAGUGAUGAAGGGUUUCGGCUCGUAAAACUCUGUUAUUAGGGAAGAACAAAUGUGUAAGUAACUGUGCACAUCUUGACGGUACCUAAUCAGAAAGCCACGGCUAACUACGUGCCAGCAGCCGCGGUAAUACGUAGGUGGCAAGCGUUAUCCGGAAUUAUUGGGCGUAAAGCGCGCGUAGGCGGUUUCUUAAGUCUGAUGUGAAAGCCCACGGCUCAACCGUGGAGGGUCAUUGGAAACUGGGAAACUUGAGUGCAGAAGAGGAAAGUGGAAUUCCAUGUGUAGCGGUGAAAUGCGCAGAGAUAUGGAGGAACACCAGUGGGCGAAGGCGACUUUCUGGUCUGUAACUGACGCUGAUGUGCGAAAGCGUGGGGAUCAAACAGGAUUAGAUACCCUGGUAGUCCACGCCGUAAACGAUGAGUGCUAAGUGUUAGGGGGUUUCCGCCCCUUAGUGCUGCAGCUAACGCAUUAAGCACUCCGCCUGGGGAGUACGACCGCAAGGUUGAAACUCAAAGGAAUUGACGGGGACCCGCACAAGCGGUGGAGCAUGUGGUUUAAUUCGAAGCAACGCGAAGAACCUUACCAAAUCUUGACAUCCUUUGAAAACUCUAGAGAUAGAGCCUUCCCCUUCGGGGGACAAAGUGACAGGUGGUGCAUGGUUGUCGUCAGCUCGUGUCGUGAGAUGUUGGGUUAAGUCCCGCAACGAGCGCAACCCUUAAGCUUAGUUGCCAUCAUUAAGUUGGGCACUCUAGGUUGACUGCCGGUGACAAACCGGAGGAAGGUGGGGAUGACGUCAAAUCAUCAUGCCCCUUAUGAUUUGGGCUACACACGUGCUACAAUGGACAAUACAAAGGGCAGCUAAACCGCGAGGUCAUGCAAAUCCCAUAAAGUUGUUCUCAGUUCGGAUUGUAGUCUGCAACUCGACUACAUGAAGCUGGAAUCGCUAGUAAUCGUAGAUCAGCAUGCUACGGUGAAUACGUUCCCGGGUCUUGUACACACCGCCCGUCACACCACGAGAGUUUGUAACACCCGAAGCCGGUGGAGUAACCAUUU